ACGGGAGGCAGCAGUGAGGAAUAUUGGUCAAUGGGCGAGAGCCUGAACCAGCCAAGUAGCGUGAAGGAUGACUGCCCUAUGGGUUGUAAACUUCUUUUGUUCGGGAAUAAAGUGCGGGACGUGUCCCGCUUUGCAUGUACCGUUCGAAUAAGCAUCGGCUAAUUCCGUGCCAGCAGCCGCGGUAAUACGGAAGAUGCGAGCGUUAUCCGGAUUUAUUGGGUUUAAAGGGAGCGUAGGCGGUCCUUUAAGUCAGCGGUCAAAUGUCAGCGCCCAACGCUGGCCUGCCGUUGAUACUGGAGGACUUGAAUACACACAAGGAAGGUGGAAUUCGUCGUGUAGCGGUGAAAUGCUUAGAUAUGACGAAGAACACCGAUUGCGUAGGCAGCAGACCAGGCCGUAAAUGACGCUCAUGCACGAAAGUGCGGGGAUCGAACAGGAUUAGAUACCCUGGUA
This 453-nucleotide ribosomal RNA is filed under the name uncultured Paraprevotella sp. Its description in RNAcentral is "partial 16S ribosomal RNA". It matches the Rfam family "Bacterial small subunit ribosomal RNA", at positions 341 to 792 of the family's 1533-position model. The record is from RNAcentral. Lineage: Bacteria; Pseudomonadati; Bacteroidota; Bacteroidia; Bacteroidales; Prevotellaceae.